Molecule: ribosomal RNA, 1316 nt
Filed under: uncultured fungus
Lineage: Eukaryota; Fungi
Description: eukaryotic LSU rRNA
Rfam family: Eukaryotic large subunit ribosomal RNA (bases 647-1316)
Source: RNAcentral
AAGUCGUAACAAGGUUUCCGUAGGUGAACCUGCGGAAGGAUCAUUAUUGAAUAAACUUGAACAGGCUGUCGCUGGUCCCCUCGGGGGUAUGUGCACGCUUAUCAUCUUUAUAAUUUCUCCAACCUGUGCACACACUUGUAGACCCUGAAUGAAUUUCUAUUCGAGUUGGGGACUGCUGCGCUCACAAUUAAAAGCCGGCUUUCCCUUGUAUUUUUCAGGUCUAUGUCAUUUUUUCACAACCUCUAGAACAUGUUUAGAAUGUUGAAUCAGGUCUUUGUACCUAUAAUAAAAGUUAUAUACAACUUUCAGCAACGGAUCUCUUGGCUCUCGCAUCGAUGAAGAACGCAGCGAAAUGCGAUAAGUAAUGUGAAUUGCAGAAUUCAGUGAAUCAUCGAAUCUUUGAACGCAUCUUGCGCUCCUUGGUAUUCCGAGGAGCAUGCCUGUUUGAGUGUCAUUUGACUUCUCUCAACCACAUCGUCUUUUCGAUUGUGGCUUGGAUGUGGGGGGAUUUGCAGGCUAACUAACUGACAAGCCGGCUCCCCUGAAAUGCAUUAGUGGUAAUCUGAGCUGCUAUUGGUGUGAUAAUUUAUCUAUGCCUUUGGUACAGGACCGCUUAUAAACAACACAAAAAAUCAUUUGACAAAUUUGACCUCAAAUCAGGUAGGACUACCCGCUGAACUUAAGCAUAUCAAUAAGCGGAGGAAAAGAAACUAACAAGGAUUCCCCUAGUAACUGCGAGUGAAGCGGGAAAAGCUCAAAUUUGAAAUCUGGCAGCUCUUUGANCUGUCCGAGUUGUAAUCUAGAGAAGUGUUACCUGUGUUGGACCGUGUACAAGUCUCCUGGAAUGGAGCGUCACAGAGGGUGAGAAUCCCGUCUUUGACACGGACUGCCUGCACGUUAUGGUGCGCUCUCAAAGAGUCGAGUUGUUUGGGAAUGCAGCUCAAAAUGGGUGGUAAAUGCCAUCUAAAGCUAAAUAUUGGCGAGAGACCGAUAGCGAACAAGUACCGUGAGGGAAAGAUGAAAAGAACUUUGGAAAGAGAGUUAAACAGUACGUGAAAUUGCUGAAAGGGAAACGCUUGAAGUCAGUCGCGUCGGCUAGAAAUCAACCUUGCUUUUGCUUGGUGUACUUUCUUGUUGACGGGUCAGCAUCAAUUUUGACCGUCGGAUAAAGUCAUUGGGAAUGUGGCAUCUUAGGAUGUGUUAUAGCCCAUUGUCGCAUACGACGGUUGGGAUUGAGGAACUCAGCACGCCCGCAAGGGACGGGUUUUUUGACCACGUUCGUGCUUAGGAUGCUGGCAUAAUGGCUUUAAUCGACC